AGAAAGCCUUGUGCAACUCCAUCACCUUGUGCUCCUUCCCAUCAACAAAAAAAAUACCAUUUUGCACCUACUUAAUGUUUUUACUCACUUCUUUCAUCCUCCUUGCCUCCUCCAUUACUUCUUCCAAGCUUGUUCUCCUUUUAUUUUCUCUUUAUUUUUUUUGCUUGUUCCUUCUAUGUAGCUUACCCUCAAGUGCAUCAAGCACCAUCUUCAUUGUCUCCUUCAUUAGUUCCAUCUAGUGCAACUCUUGUUUUGUCUCCAUUAGCUUGGACUUCUUGUUCUUAUGGGCAUAUUCACCCCUCCCACUCUCCACAUCCUCAUCACUCUCACCAAUCUCACACACCUCUCCAUUGUCACUACUGCUUGCAAUUCAAGCCCAUCACAAGUAGUACUUCCUCCACCAACAUUAGCAAUUGCUUCCCAAACCCAUCACAAGUUGAAAUUGGCAAAUAAUGUAAAUGUUUCUUUCUUUAUGUAUGACACACUUACAAAAUGAUAUCCAUGAGUGAAACUACCUAUCCCUAAGCUUGUGUUUGAUCUCUGUUAGCCUGAACUUCCUAUUCUUGUGAGUACGUUCAUCCCUCCAACUCUCACAUCCUCAUCAGUCUCCCUAAUCUCACAAUCCUCUCACCUCUCACUAUCGGUAGCAUAAUGUCAAUCCUAUCACAAGAGGUACUUCCUCUACCGGCAUUAGCAAUUGCUCCCUAAACCCAUCACAAGUUGAAAUGGACAAAUGAUGUUAAUGUUGCUUCUUUAUAUAUUACAUAAUUACAAAAUGAUAUUUAUGAGUGAACUGCUUAUCCACAA
This 807-nucleotide long non-coding RNA is filed under the name Sorghum bicolor (sorghum). RNAcentral describes it as "long non-coding RNA (SBIC_LNC009067)". Lineage: Eukaryota; Viridiplantae; Streptophyta; Magnoliopsida; Poales; Poaceae. The record is from RNAcentral.